GUUCUCCUGUGGACACUCAGCCAGCAGCCCAGCCACAGCAGAAAGAGUCCUCCCCAGACCCUAGAGCCCAAGCGGCCACCCCCUCCCAGGCCGGGAGCUCCCCCCACACGCCCCCACGCCCCCACAGAGACCCCCACCACCUUCAGGUGAGCAGCCACUCUAUUUCCCAUUGUGCUAGACUGAAAUUUCUCCUCCACUGUUUAGAAUGCUCUGUGUGUUUUCAUAUCACUAGCUUCUAGGUUUAUUUAUUCUUAUUAUUUUUUAAUCAUUGUUGCUACUUUUCCACCUUUUCUCAAAGAACACGAUAGGUUGACAGGACAGAUAAAAUGUAUUUAUUUAACAGGUAGAUUUUUGCCAUUGUUUUCAUAGCUGCCUUCUUACCAGAGUGCAAGAGGGGUUUGUUUUAGUUUUGCUAAUUUGAUGUAGCUGGGCAAGUAAACUGUUCUUAGGUAAAACUAGGUUUAAUUUUUUUUUUAAUCAUCAUUUUUGGCUUCAUGAAAUCAUUAAAGUUGAAUUUGUCUAAUCUUUAUGAUUAGAACUAGAAAGCAUGCACAUUAUUUAAUAUGUUUUAUAUAAAUAAUAUUUUAAAAUAUGAUUGUAUUGUUACUUUAGUUUUUAUGAAUAUAUGCUUCUUUAUAGUAUCUAGAUACUUACAUUUAAUUCCAACGUGAUAUUUGUUACCAUAAAUACUACAGCAAAUCUUGACAUUUAAUUCUUUAUUUAAUGUCAUUUCCUUUCUGCUUCAUAUUUUCUUGUGAACUAUAAGGGGCUAGGAGUCCUGCACCUGCUAGAAAGGAAUUUGGAGGUAACCGUUUACAUUUGUUAUCAUAUCUGAAUCUUGGUUCACUAAUCUUUUCCAGGUUGAUUUCUCUGAGAGACAUUUUAGGUUUGUUUGAUACGAAUCAAGAUAAGUGACAUUUAUACUACAUGUUAAAAAUAACUCUGAACUUCUAUUAUAUUUCUCUUAAAGUUUACAGCAUAGCUUUUUUGUAAAUACAAGUAAUGAGAGCUUCUAUCUUCCAGGAAGACAUAGUGGAACUACUUAACAAGAUUGAAUAUGCUUUUUUUUUUUUUUUUUUUAAAUGUAGUCAAUCGGGUCACAAAGAUUUAGUACCCAGCAGUCAUACUAAUUUCAAAAGGGUUUCAGAUACACUGGAUACAGAACAUUUCCCACGUCUUAAUGAGUGAUUCUCUAGUAUAUUCCUUUUCUUUUUUUUUUUCUUGGUACUGAGGAUUGUAGUACAUUCCUUUUCUAAUGGAAAAGUUUGUAGGGUAGCAAAGUUUCCAGGAAUGUAAUUUAAACUUAUGGUAAUCAUCUGAAAUAUAUCUUCUAUUUUGUAUUUAUUAUAACUUGUUAUAAAACUCCUGCCUCAUUUAUUUAAGAACUCUAUGGUUUUCUUUUCAGUACAGAAACUUUUAUCCUAAAAUGGAUCACUUUUUUUAAAAAUUAAGUAAUUUAUUUGGUUGGCAUGUGAACCCACAGAGCCCAAUUGGAGGUAUACAUUUGACAAGUUUGUUUAAUCUGUUUCUCCAGAAGGAUGAGGCAGGUUGUCACAAUUCCUCAAAAGGGUUUGUACAAAUCCAUCUUUAAUAUCAGGCCCACUGUUCAUGUGUAGUUGGUGUAAUUUCUAUUCUAGCUGCCUGAGGAGUUUACAUUCAGUUAUUACAGACUGACUUUGCAUGUGUAUAGAUUUUGGUAACUUUGUAUAAUAAGAAUAGCUAAAUUAAUUCAGCAUCACAGCUUCCACGAAGUACUGCCUAGUGAUAAUUUUUCCAUUGAGCUACAGAAACCAUCAAUAUUUCCCAAACUCUUCCUUAUAUUUUCAUGAUAAAUUCAGUUUACCUUCUGCUUUAAUUAGAAAACCAACCUAUAGAAAAUAAAAAGUGUGGUGGUAAUUCAGUGGUAAAGUGUUUGCCUGGCAUGUGUGAGCCCCUGAGUUCAAUUCUCAGCACCAAAAAUAAAAAAAAAGAAAAAGUAGUCUCAUUGAAAUUAAAACUUCAUUUGUGAUCUUCUUUCCUUUUGACAAAUAUUGGAGCUUUUAGUAGAGAUGGAAUUCUAGCAAUAAAGAAUGAGAUGAUCUUAGAAGAAAGACAUUAACUUUUUAAUAUUUCCUGUGCUUAGUAAUCUCAGAUAAAAAAGAAAAGAAAAUUGCUGUCCCAUUUCAGUUUGAGGAGGAGGAGGACUCAAAUUUGGGCUUAGUCUAAAGCCACGUUUGUUUAUACUGUUAUCUUUAAAGAGAUGUAAAGCGAAGAAGGAACCCUUGUGCAAAAAAGUAAUUGUGUGUCUGCCUUUCUUCAUUCUGUGCUGCGGACUCUGAACAAUAUAUAGCUUUUGUUCUUUUUCUAAAAAGGUAUUGGAGCCCCUCCCAGUCCUGGGGUAGCUAGGAGAGAGAUGGAAGGUAACAAGACUUUUACAUUAUAGAAAUGGUUCAUUUGUUUGAUUUCUAAAUGUCAGCUGCUCCAGUGUUUAAAGGCAUACUAAAUCUUUUCUUAAUCCCACUGUAAACUUUCCCUCCACCCCAUCCUUAUGUAUAACUUGUAUUUUUCUCUCUUCAUUCUGUUUACAUGUAUGGUUUCUAAUGGCUGUCAAUUUAAUUUCCCCAAGACUCGUGUAGUAUGUUGCGUGUACGCUUUCAUAAAUAUUUCAUGUAUACUUAGGUUGUGAAAUUACUGUUUAAGAAGAAUGCCUUCAGUUUUCUUUUCAGAAUAAAUCAGAUGUUUAGAAAUGCCCUUUACUAAUCUGAUGUUUUAAAAAUUAGUAACAGGGCCAGGGAUCUAGCUCACUGGUGCUGCUGCCUGCCUUGUGACCGUAAGGUCCCGAGGUUGAUCCCCGGUACCAAAAAAACAAAAACAAAACAAAAAAAAUUAGUAAGAAUAAAGCAUUAAAAAUUAAGUCCAGGGCCAGGGAUUUAGCUCAGUGCUACCACACGUUCCUCGCAAGCACAAGGUCCUGAGUUUAUCCCUGGUACCAAAAAAAAAUUAGGUCCAAGAAUAGAGUAUUUUGUGAGUGAUUUUGGGUAAUAUAUGUGUUCUGCGUAUAUUGGUACUGAGCUAGAUUUGUUUAAAAGACCAUUCAGGGGCUGGGGAUUUAGCUCAGUGGCACCACACCUGCCUCGCAAGUGCAAGCUAGGUCCUGAAUCAUACUUGAAUGUCCUUUCAAAAGGAAAAUAAAUCUUAAGAUGCUGCUUAUUAGUCUUUCUGUUCCUUUUGUCCCAAAGAAUUUGUACCACAUUUUAAUACUAUCUUCCAUAAGGUAGGCAUUUUAUAAGAUACGUACAUUUCUGUCUUCUAUUUUGUUACCGAAAUCAAAAAAUCUCACUGUAAAAUAACUGUUCACGAUAAUACCUACAGCAUGAAGCCCUGCAACGGUGCUCCUAGGAGCCUCUUAUGCAGCUUGAAAUCUGUAGCCCUACCUGUUGCUCAGAGCUGUUUGUUUGCCAGGCCCUGAGGAGCAGAAGUUAGUGUUCACAUCUGUGACCAUUCCCUCCACUGACCAUGUUUUUGUGGUUCAUGGAGAGAGCUCUGUGAGGACUAUCACCUUCAAGUGACCCCGAGAGUGAGGCAUCAAACUGAGAGCUACCCUUGUGUCCUAGGAAGGUCCCUCUAAGUAUUCUGGCUUUUCUCUCUUUGGAAUAUUUCACUCAGGACCAACAGUAUCCUUCAUCCUUAUCCGAAGCUAAGCGCUGUGAUUUGUUACCAUAUCAGGCCCCCAUUUCUGCUGGUGAUGACACAGAAUGACCAACUAACUGAUUUAUGCAAUAUUGUUUUGUUGCUUACUUAUGACUAAUUUUUUCCUUCCUGCUUCCAAGCACCCAAAAGCCCUGGAACAACACGGAAAGAAAAUAUAGGAUGUAAUGUCUUCAUUCCAGGACGCAGUCAGCCUUCACCUCAAGCAGGACUUGCAGGCCCAGGACCUGCUGGACCCAGUACAGCCAGACC
Heterocephalus glaber (naked mole-rat) is the source of this 3939-nucleotide long non-coding RNA. The record is from Ensembl. NCBI's taxonomy places the organism in Eukaryota, Metazoa, Chordata, Mammalia, Rodentia, Bathyergidae.